Candoia aspera is the source of this 2459-nucleotide long non-coding RNA. RefSeq lists it as uncharacterized. The record is from RefSeq and is a predicted model, not a curated record. The transcript is spliced from 2 exons. Lineage: Eukaryota; Metazoa; Chordata; Lepidosauria; Squamata; Candoiidae.
UCCUAUAUGCAUGAGAGAAAGAAAAUAAAGAACAUCAGGGCUGUCUGCAUUUUAAAUGUAUGUUUUAAAAUAGUAGCUAUUAUAACUAAAUGGUUGCAAAUAGAAUCAAAGCUCAAGGUUUAUGAAUUGAUGUUAACAUCAACGUUAUAUCCCAUAAUAUAAAAUUCAGUAGGUAUUCAAUUACAAAACAUGGAAAUGUAACAAUAAGUUAGUUAGUGGUUAAGAGAAAAAAUUACUUGCACUGCAGUUUUGAGCACUAUUUGAAAUUAAUUUAAGAAUUAUAUACAUACUUACUUGAAAACAAUCCUACCAAUUAUUUCUGAAUAAACAUACACUGGAUUUGACUGCACACCUGUAAUCUUAAAUGUGUUUGUUUUUUUGUAAAUGUGAAUAGGACUGAAUUGUCCAUGUCAUAAAUAUAUGUAUAUCAGAGUUAAAUAAAUAGUUCGAAGACAUGUACUAGUAAGCAUUAAUAAGUAGUUCAACACAGAAUUUUAUUAUAUAUGAUGCUCCAGAAACUUUUAAUAAAAUACAAAUGCUAGUAAACAUGCCAUACUUUUCUAAUUGUCAGUGACUUUUCAAGAUUGCCAAAACACAGUUAAGUAAUAAAUUCUUGAUACUGCUCAUUGCUAAAAGAGUUGUAUCAUGUCUACUAACAUUCACCACUUGUUUCAUGAAUAGAUGAUAGGUAUUAUUUUUGUUUUUUAAAUUAUUCAUUACUUAGAAGCCAGCUUGAUUAAGCACUUUAGUGAACUCCAGUUUCUUCACUACUAUUUUGUCCUAAUAAAAGAAUUGCCCAGCUAAGGAUGUUGAAUAUUUUCUUAUAGGUUAAGGCAAGUCUCUCUUUAAGAAUGCUUCACAAGGUUAUGAGAAUAAAUGACACCAGAUAUUGCAAGCUUAGUUAUCUUGUAAAAAUGAAUCUGGAGGAAAAUCCAGGGGAAAAAUUAUUCUGCUAGGUGACAACAAUACUUUAUUGAUCAUGCUCAUGACAAUACUGUAAUAUAAAACCUUUGAAUAAAACCAUCCAUAGCAAAAUAACUAAACACAAAAACUCAACUCGUAUGUUAUCAUCCUUUACAACUUACCCCAAUAAAAUACACAUAUGCAGCUCUAAUUGCACUGCUUUAUUCAACAAGGUCAUUUUAUAUGUAAUAUUUGUAUUCUGACCACACAUAAAAUAUGUUGUUCUAAGAUAUGGUUCCCUGUGAGCUGUUCGCCUUAUAUAUGGUUCAGGAUAAUGAUCUUCUUCUAUGCUAUACAAUUGGUACUCAAAUAAUAUAUGUGGUAUAUCUUCAAUCUCUGGUAUACCUCAAAUAAAUAUAUGUUCAUGAUAGGGGACUUGAUUAAACCUUUCAUAUUUACCAUUAUAUCUAGCUGUAAAAAUCUCACAUGGGUAAACAUCCUCCUAAGAUACUUGGUCAUUUGGUAAUCGAAUAUUUUUCCAUUUGAAAAUUAUAUUUGUAGUGGUUCAUCCAUCUCAGCAGCCUUACUGAGAGUAGCUAUAUCUCUUUGAGUUUCUAUAUCAGAGAUUCCUUGUGCAACAAUUUUCUUAACUGGGAAUCUAUGAAUUUCCACAGAGAAAUAAUUUUCUACCAAUAAAAGUAGCCCCCUCCAAAUUUCUUAUUCAUACAAGCCCAAAGGCCAUUCCCAUUUCUCAAAGGAAAUUAAAUGUUACACAGACAUCAUAAUCUACAUUCUUGAAAAUAAGAAUGAUCAAACUUUCAAAACUUUAAUGACUGCGUUUUUGGAUCUCAAAAUUUAAUCAAAGUAUGUAUGCCAUGCUCCAGUAAUAAAAUGUCUACCUUUUUUAAAAAAAAAUAAUUAUGUAGAAUUAUACAUAAUUUAUAAGAUUGAUGAUGAUCACAGAUGAAUUCUGUAAAUACCUGAAACAAGCAUACCAUUUCCCAUUUUGCCAGUACUUGAAAGCAAAUGAUGAAAACUGCAUUUAGUAAAUGUUUAUAUCUACCAGUGUAUGUUGAUGUCUUACAAUUUUUGGAUACUCUUCAAAUAAUCUGGGACAGAGAUGUCCAUAAAAUAAAGUGGUUUUGCAGAAAACCAAAGUUUAGAGUCACCCAACUGACUGCUUCUAAACACAAAAGAAAGUACUUAUUUGCAAAACACAUUAUCAAUUAAUGCAAUUCAAUGCUAUAGCAAUCUCAGACAAAUUAAAUGAAGGAUAUUUCUAUACAUAUCAUGAUAGCAAGAUGAAAUUCUUGGGGGAAGCUCCCUUCCGGUGGAACAGCUUGCCCCCCAAGGCAAAAAUAGCCUCUACUCUUCUGGCAUUUUGGAAGCCGGAACUUAAUUAUAACUUUUGCCAUAAUUAUAUAUUGUAUUUCUGUUUCUGUAUGCCAUUGUUAUAUUACAUUAGCUGAAGUAAUUGCUUUUGUACAACACUUAGGGCUCUCUUGAGUGUUGCUUAUACAUUCAUAAAUAAAUAAAAUUCCAUAUUCAGAGAAAAA